GGUCUACAUCGUACAAGGGAAGGUUGAAACUUGAAAAAUAGGAAGCCUCACCAACCACUGUUUUGUCUCAAACACCUGAUAUUAAAAUGUUAAAAUAUAGGGAUUAAAUCGAUAAUUUACUUAUAAUACAAAUAUUAAUAGCGUAAUUUAUAUUUUUUUGGGUCAAAAUUAAAGGGUAUCUAUCGUCGAUAAUAAUAACUAACUCUCGCACCACAGAUGUUUUCCGAAGAGGUAAAUUGUUGGUCACAAAAUAUGUUCUAUCCUCAUGGACAAGGAUCAGAUCUCCGACCAUAUGAUUAAAGGACAAGAUGAGCAAUCACCACGCCACACUUUAUAAUUCUCCAAACUUUAAAUUGUUAUAUAAAAAAAGUCUUUAAAAUAUCAGUACCAAAUUAAUUAAAUGAUCAGUUCAUUAACUUAGAUGUCAUGUAACAUAUUUAAAAUGCAUUAAUCAAAUUUAAAGCACACACGAAUCUAUCGUAUCGAGCUGACGUCUUAAAAGAAUUAAUCCUCGUGAAAUUUCAUGAUAAUCUACUGUUUUAAACACAUUAAAUUCAAACCCAAUCCGUAUUUUUAUUCAUUUAUUUAUUUUAAAACAUAAAAUCCAAUUGAGUGGAUGUCAUUUGUUUUGGGGCCAACAUCCUACAAGAGGUAAGUUGAAAAAUAAGAAGCCUCAUGAAUCACGAUUGUCUCAUUUUAAGGACCACAAAUUUUUGUUAUAUGUUUUUAUUUUGUGUGUCUUCCAAAAAAUAAGCACAAAUUUAUGGCAUUCAUAGCAUGUAUCAUGCUUGCAUCUAAAUUAUUUUGAGUGGACAUAGUCCACGUCCACACGCCUCUCCAUAAUUUUAUUAAAUAAUAAUUAUAUUUCGAUGGAAGUUUACAAUAAUUAUUAUAAUAGACAUUGAUCAUAGUGGUAGAACGAUAAUAAAAUAAUAAAUAAAAUAAAAAUACAUAGAUUUUAUGUAGAAAACUUUUUCAGAAAAAGUCACGAGCGGAGAAGGAGAAAUUCACUAAUGUUGGAAAAUGAGUUUCGACUAUAUCUAUUUUUAAGGGUUGAAACACCCUGUUCUAAUCAAAAUCAAAUAGAAGAAGAAUAGUUUUAUACAAAUUCAACUUAUGCUAUAUUUAUUUCUGCAACAAGUGACGGGAUUUAGGUCACAAACUCUAACAAUAACAAUGAAAUCAACGCCCAAAAGAGCUAAAUUACAUUUUGGUCAUUAAACAUUAAAAAAUAGAAUGAUUAUUGAAUUAUUUGAAAGUUUUCAUUUAAAUAACUGAAUUUUUAAAAUCGUUGUUGUAUGGCCUUCUUUAUUCGCAUCAUUUGCACCAAUCAAAAACUCUUGCUCUCAUUCUCUUUCUCUUCUACAAUUCAAUUUUUUUUUUCAUGAAACAACUCAGAAUGUAUACGAACCAAAAUCCAAACAGCUUUCUUCUACGAUCUCCGACACGGAUCGUUAUAACGACUUGGAUCUGAGGUAUAUUCUUCUAUUCGUUCGAUGGGUACUGAUCCACCGUACCAAUCAUUGAAUAAUCACUUAGAGCUUGCUAGUCGGACUCAAAAAAAAACUUAACAGUUUAAUAACUUAAAUAAAAACUUUCAAAUAAUUCAAUGACUUAAAUGAAAACUUUUAAAUAAUUUAAUGAUCAUUUUAUAACUUUUUGAAGUUGAGUGACUAAAACGUAAACUUACUUUUAGUUUAGUGACAUUGGGUGUAGUUUACGCAUAUAUUAUUUGGUUCUUGACUUUGACUUCAAUUUUCAAUUUGGUACUUAAGAUUUUUUUUCUCAAUUCAGUACAUGAGUUUGACUUCAAUAUUCAAUUUAAUACCUUAAUACUUGAUUUUUUUUGUCUCAAUUAAGUAUAUGAGUUUGGCUUCAAUAUUAAAUUUGGUAUUUGACUGUUUUUUUAUUUAUUGGACUGUGUGAUACUAUUUAAAUUGAAUAUCAAAUUAAACAUUGGAACUAAACUCAAGUACCAAAUUGAGUAUUGAAAUCAAUCUCAAGUACCAAAUGAUAUAUUGACUUAUAUAAAUCGACUUUAUACGAUUUAACUUUUUAUUAUUAUUCGAAUUUGAUUUAAUUAGACAAUAAAUAAAUAAUUUAAUUUCAAAAUACUGAAAAUUUGAUUAUUACAUAUUUGAUUAAUAGUGCAAAUAUAUAAAAAUUUCUUUAAAUCAAAUAAAAUAUUUUUAUAUAUUUAAAUAUCAUUAUCAAUGCUGCAUAAGUAAAAUUUUAACAUUAAAAAAUUAUAGUCUAACAAAAAUAAUUAAAAGAAAUAUAACUCUUUUUAUAUCAAAAAAAUAUAUAUAGUAUUAAUAUUAAUAAAAGUAUGCCAACGGAACCUUAACUUAGUUAGUAUCGUUGCAAUUAUAACAACUAUAAAUUUAAGUAAUUGUGUAAUAUAUCAAUAAAAUAAUUAAAAAAAAUUAUCGGUUGAGUCUUGACUCAAUUGACAUAUUUCUUCCUACAAUAACUCUGAUUUAAUUUCAGCAACUGGAAUUGGAAUUCCACACUCUUGGUCCUGUGAGUUUAUAUACACAUAUUGUGUGUUUGACAGACGAAAAUGAAGACUUGAGUUUAUAUACUCAUAAAGCUAGUCAAAUUCAACAUAGAACAAGGGAAAGAAAGGUUUUUCAUGUUUAACCAAAAAUAAAUAAAUUUUUACCUGUAUGUAUAGCAGAGGUUGAUGGUAUAGAAAAUUCGGAAGGUCUAUGGGCAGGAACAACCUUUCCGGGUUCAUACUGAGUCAAACACCGUUCACUGAUUCUUAGCUACGGCAUGAUCUUUUAGCAGCAAAGAUUCUAAUGCUUGAGUAUUUGGAAAAUAGCAUCUCCAAUAUGGCCUGUGGAGCAAAGGGAAAUAAGAAACUAAAGAAUGCUAAGCAAAAGGGUGGUCAACCUCACAUGAGAUUAGCAUCCAACCUAAAAUCAGCUAGCAAUAGGCAAUGGUGGGGCUUAACUUGAAUGUAAGAGCACACAAAACUCAAUACUUUAACAUUCUCUCUCACUUGUAGCUCAACAAGGGUUUGCACGAGGACGACCUCACAAGAGGAUGGACACAACUACUUAUGAGAUGUAGGAUAACACCACUUAAGUAGCUUGAAUUAAAUUGUUUAUGUAGUGCUCUAUUAUAGGCUCGGAAUAACACAAUCUAGAACAGAGCUUUUCGAGACCAGUAAUCUAAGAGAAUAGUUUUUGACUAAAUCUAAGUUAAACGAUGCUCGGAAAAAAGUUACCUGAUACUAG
RNAcentral lists this long non-coding RNA (3245 nucleotides) under Gossypium barbadense (sea-island cotton). Its description in RNAcentral is "long non-coding RNA (GBAR_LNC018245)". The record is from RNAcentral. Lineage: Eukaryota; Viridiplantae; Streptophyta; Magnoliopsida; Malvales; Malvaceae.